CGCUCUGUGAACCCGCAGGUGUGACAGGUGUUAUUAGUGAACCCGCCAGGCGUGACGGGCGCUCUGUGAACCCGCAGAUGGGAAUAGAACCUUAUGAUGCACUUGCAGGUCAUUUUUAUGCCCUGUUUUCCUCUUUGCUCUAUUAGCCCAGCAUUGUAUUUCAGAAUCUCACCCAGCUCUUGUGUUUUGAUUCAGUUAUUUGGGAGUCUGUUAUUUGUACCAGUAUUACGUCUUGUGUUAUGGAAAGGAUUCGCCAUCCCCGUCUCCAGUGCCCUUAAACGAAAAGCAGAUGUCUCCAGAUCGGGUUUGUUGGCCGCUUCUCACAAGUCCUCUCCAUUUGAUCUCGUUGCUCGGCCUCAACAAAAACAAAAAAAAAGUCCGCGAUUUUACGUAUAAUAACACAGAGUCGUUUUUCUUGCCAGGCGGUCUUGUUUUUCCUAUGAGAUAUUAAGAGGCUUCCAAGCAGCCUGUUCUGAUUUGUCGUUCUGUUUCGUACAGAAUAUCCACACAGAUUGCAGCUGGCAAGAAGGAAGAACUUUUUAUAUAGUUCCAUUUUAUUUUUUGUCAAAUAUUCCACUGCUUGUAUUUAGAAAGACUACACUGAUGUAGUUACAAUAGUAUAUGCAGCCAUUAUCUGCUCAAAGCAGGAAAAGCUGUUCUUGUUAGCUGCUUCAUAUUCAGCUUAUCAAUUCCCAUUUAUUUUAUUAUAAUGUUAUUAAAGUGGAACUAAUCCCUCCUAUCUUUACAGGAAUCUGCCAUCUUAGCCUUUGUUUGAUCAGCAGUUGCCAUGGUGCUGCACAUUAAACCAGUUAUUUGAUUUUUAGUUUGGUUGUGAACACAAGCAACUGUGCUAGUUAUCAGUGACUGCAUGCCUUGAAUGUUAGUGAGGAAUGAGUUAAAUCAAUGGGUUUAGUUCUGCUUUAGAGUUCUGUUAAAGUGGAACUAACUAAAGGUAGAACUACUUGCCUUAGUUCCAAUGUUCCCACGUCUGCAAAGUCCAUCACUUGCGCCGGUAUCUUCUUCCAGGCGUCGGUCUUUGCUGACAGCCAAUCGCGGUAGUCAUGUGACCAUAAGCCCCGUCUGGCUCCAAGCAUGGCAAACCCCUUACAGGGCCAGCGCCAAAUGGGUAGCAUAUACUUUAAUGUGGUAGUAAACUCUCAUUCGUUAUUUUUACCUACAGGUAAGGUUCUAAUAGAGCUUACCUGUAGGUAAAAUGAAUAUCUUCUAAACGUGCAUAGUUGUAGGAGAUUUUCUAGCCAGCAGCAGCCGGUGACGUCACUGGCGCAUGCGUUCUGAAGGAACGGCAUACCUGUGCUGUUCCUUCAGAGCUGUGUGACGUCAGCUCGGGCCCUCCAAGCAGACAAACCCAGAAGGAAGACCAGGGGAAGAUGGAAGUGCCUACAGUGGUGACAGCACGCCGCUCGAGGGUUCCUUUUUCAGGCAAGUCCUUCAAAAUGUAUGUAAUGCACAAUAGCACCUUAAGGCUGUACCGCACAGGGGGUAACCUUCUUCUUCCCUUUUUUUUUAUUUUAGAUUAUUUGCAUAUCUUCAUAAAUGUGGGAGAAGAGGAUAUGUAGUACACAGGUGAACUAGGCAGGGAUGUAAUACUGCCUGAGAUUACAGUGCAGGAAGUUAGGAGCACCAGGAUUUAUGGGAGAAUAACAGGUAUUUUUUUGCAGCAGCGUUGCGCCAUUGACUCCCGCGUCUGUCAAUCAAAGUCAGUGAGCCAAUGAGGAGGGAAAGGGGGCGGAGCCGCAGCUCUGUAUCUGAAGGGACACAGGGAGCUGCGGCUUGGUUC
Rana temporaria (common frog) is the source of this 1798-nucleotide long non-coding RNA. RefSeq lists it as uncharacterized. NCBI's taxonomy places the organism in Eukaryota, Metazoa, Chordata, Amphibia, Anura, Ranidae. The record is from RefSeq and is a predicted model, not a curated record. The transcript is spliced from 3 exons.